RNAcentral lists this ribosomal RNA (549 nucleotides) under uncultured Glomus. Its description in RNAcentral is "SSU rRNA". It matches the Rfam family "Eukaryotic small subunit ribosomal RNA", at positions 548 to 1098 of the family's 1831-position model. The record is from RNAcentral. Lineage: Eukaryota; Fungi; Glomeromycota; Glomeromycetes; Glomerales; Glomeraceae.
UUGGAGGGCAAGUCUGGUGCCAGCAGCCGCGGUAAUUCCAGCUCCAAUAGCGUAUAUUAAAGUUGUUGCAGUUAAAAAGCUCGUAGUUGAAUUUCGGGAUCAAUGCGUCGGUCGUGCCUUCGGUACGUACUAGCGUCAUUGAUUCCUCCCUUCUGAAGAACCGUGAUGUCAUUAAUUUGGUGUUACGGGAAAUCAGGACUGUUACCUUGAAAAAAUUAGAGUGUUUAAAGCAGGCUAACGCUUGAAUACAUUAGCAUGGAAUAAUGAAAUAGGACGUUCGAACCUAUUUUGUUGGUUUCUAGGAUCGACGUAAUGAUUAAUAGGGAUAGUUGGGGGCAUUAGUAUUCAAUUGUCAGAGGUGAAAUUCUUGGAUUUAUUGAAGACUAACUACUGCGAAAGCAUUUGCCAAGGAUGUUUUCAUUAAUCAAGAACGAAAGUUAGGGGAUCGAAGACGAUCAGAUACCGUCGUAGUCUUAACCAUAAACUAUGCCGACUAGGGAUCGGAUGAUGUUAAUUUUUUAAUGACUCAUUCGGCGCCUUACGGGAAAC